UUGUAGGCGGAGAUGAGGUGGAGGGUCCUUGGCGAUAGGCAGAGGUGGCGAAGGGAGGAGGAUUAGGAGGAUGAAAGAGAGGGAGGAGACUCGGGAGAUAGGGAUGGCAAUGGGGCGGGGCGGGGUUGGAGGUUGGUACUACCAUCCCCAAUCCCCGCCUCGAUCCCAGGCGGGGAAUGUUUUUGUACCCCUGUCCCCGCCUUCGGCGGGGACCGGGGAUCCCCACCCCGAAUCUCGCAAAAUCAACCACAAAAUCAACCCUAAAUCUACCACAAAAUCAACAACUUUCAAAUAAAAAUAAAAUAAAAAUAAAAAAUGUCAAAAUCAACAAAGCCCAAAAACACCUAGAUGAGAUCUGGCAACCAAUGUUCGCGUUGAUCGGCAAAGGCUAGCGACUGCAGCGGGAGCAAUGACGGGUGAGUCAGCGACGGUUGAGAUCUGGUAGUGGAUCUCCCUCUCGGCCUCUCCCCUUCCCCUCUCUGUUCUUGCGUGAGAUCUGGUGGACCGGUGGUGGGUCUCCCUCUCCCCUUCCCCUUCCCCUCUCUGGUCUCUAGUCUCCCUCUGUUCGUCGUCGGCCGUGGAGAGAAGAAA
RNAcentral lists this long non-coding RNA (591 nucleotides) under Actinidia chinensis (golden kiwifruit). RNAcentral describes it as "long non-coding RNA (ACHI_LNC008688)". Lineage: Eukaryota; Viridiplantae; Streptophyta; Magnoliopsida; Ericales; Actinidiaceae. The record is from RNAcentral.